This is a long non-coding RNA of Anneissia japonica, 621 nucleotides long. RefSeq lists it as uncharacterized. The record is from RefSeq and is a predicted model, not a curated record. The transcript has 3 exons. NCBI's taxonomy places the organism in Eukaryota, Metazoa, Echinodermata, Crinoidea, Comatulida, Comatulidae.
UAGAUUGACCUGCACCCCACUCGCGAAGAUGAAUUGGUCUACCAAUUCUGAUAAAGUUUUCCCUAUUAACCACCAGUCAAAAGUAAACAUUUAGGAGGAUGUCACUCCGCUGCAUCACACUCGGGAAUAUAUGCUGUAAAGAUCACUGGUGAGAAUGGAAGGUGAUUUGGAUCAUAAAUGCACCAUUUGUUUACUGUGAAAUCAAAUCUUACCCAUCAUAUGAAGCUACAUGAUGAACACGAGAACUGAAGAAUGAUGUUUUAUUGUCCCCACAUGAAGUGGUAAAAGCUGCUCCUGGAGUUUGUCUACUAAUUUCCUGCUGUGAAAAUUGAUCUUGAUAACCACUUGAAAGUAAGACAUGAAUAAUGCCAAUAAGAACAACCCUUCAGUAAUUGAUAGUCAACACUAUUUCUCAGCAUCCGUGAAGCACAAAGAGAAACAAGAACCACUGACAGACCUGGACCCAGAUUACAUUGAAGAUGCUGAACUGUUGGCUGUUGCAGGUAUGUUGGAAGCUCUUAUGUGUUUGUGUACUUGCAUUUAUUAAUGCAGAUAGUUAGUGAAGGGAAAAAAUACUCUAACUUUAAAUAUUAAAUGCAUUUUCACACCUCCAGUAGAAAA